GAUGAACGCUGGCGGCGUGCCUAAUACAUGCAAGUCGAGCGAACAGACGAGGAGCUUGCUCCUCUGACGUUAGCGGCGGACGGGUGAGUAACACGUGGAUAACCUACCUAUAAGACUGGGAUAACUUCGGGAAACCGGAGCUAAUACCGGAUAAUAUAUUGAACCGCAUGGUUCAAUAGUUAAAGACGGUUUUGCUGUCACUUAUAGAUGGAUCCGCGCCGCAUUAGCUAGUUGGUAAGGUAACGGCUUACCAAGGCGACGAUGCGUAGCCGGCCUGAGAGGGGGAUCGGCCACACUGGAACUGAGACACGGUCCAGACUCCUACGGGAGGCAGCAGUAGGGAAGCUUCCGCGAUGGGCGAAAGCCUGACGGAGCAACGCCGCGUGAGUGAUGAAGGUCUUCGGAUCGUAAAACUCUGUUAUUAGGGAAGAACAAAUGUGUAAGUAACUAUGCACGUCUUGACGGUACCUAAUCAGAAAGCCACGGCUAACUACGUG
This 497-nucleotide ribosomal RNA is filed under the name uncultured bacterium. Its description in RNAcentral is "partial 16S ribosomal RNA". It matches the Rfam family "Bacterial small subunit ribosomal RNA", at positions 28 to 507 of the family's 1533-position model. The record is from RNAcentral.